Pimephales promelas (fathead minnow) is the source of this 575-nucleotide non-coding RNA. Lineage: Eukaryota; Metazoa; Chordata; Actinopteri; Cypriniformes; Leuciscidae. The record is from RefSeq and is a predicted model, not a curated record.
AAUUCAUGAUAUAAAAUGAAUGAUAUUUUAAAUUGUUACAUGUUAUAAUUCUAGAUGUUUAAAUGCUGCGUGCCUUUUGAAUUGAUAUGAUUUCAACGCGCGUGCGAGUCGCAUUCAAAGUUGUCCGAUUCAAAGACAGGAGCGCACGCGAGCAGAUGGAAACCAUGGAAACGAGGAAACCUCUUCAACUGACAAACAGCAAAAAAUAGCGUCUCCCUGUUUUUCCACUGCUUUCAGUCUAGAAAAUCACCAUGAUGUCCUGCUACAGCCCUGUCCCAAGACAACCUCCACGGCUAUGAACUCGACUAAUGAGAUAUCAUUUGACCCUGUGAUUCUUCAGGACCAGAUCUUGAUGCCAUCCACACCCAGUACAUGACAAAGAUGCUGUGACAAAAAGCAGUCAAGCCACUGCAUGUGAUGUGGAAGCCUCUAUGAAGACAUGGCUCCGUAAUCCCUGGGACAGAGAUGGGGACGGCAAGGAAGGGCCAGAACUGCAGAAAUACCUACUGUUUCCCCUGAGGGGAUUGAUUUUUAAUUUUCAAUCCCCUGUUUUCUGUGGUUAUUGCCGUUUUAAA